This 419-nucleotide ribosomal RNA is filed under the name bacterium. Its description in RNAcentral is "partial 16S ribosomal RNA". It matches the Rfam family "Bacterial small subunit ribosomal RNA", at positions 355 to 776 of the family's 1533-position model. The record is from RNAcentral.
UGGGGGAUAUUGCACAAUGGGCGCAAGCCUGAUGCAGCGACGCCGCGUGGGGGAUGAAGGCCUUCGGGUUGUAAACUUCUUUUGCUCUGAACAAGGCGCACUUUGGGGUGUGUUGAGUGUAGGGGUUGAUUAGCGCCGGCUAACUACGUGCCAGCAGCCGCGGUAAUACGUAGGGCGCGAGCGUUGUCCGGAAUUAUUGGGCGUAAAGGGCUUGUAGGUGGCUGGUUGCGUCUGUCGUGAAAGCUCAUGGCUUAACUGUGGGUUUGCGGUGGGUACGGGCUGGCUUGAGUGCAGUAGGGGAGGCUGGAAUUCCUGGUGUAGCGGUGGAAUGCUCAGAUAUCAGGAGGAAUACCGGUGGCGAAGGCGGGUCUCUGGGCUGUUACUGACACUGAGGAGCGAAAGCAUGGGGAGCGAACAGG